Molecule: ribosomal RNA, 198 nt
Filed under: uncultured bacterium
Lineage: Bacteria
Description: partial 16S ribosomal RNA
Rfam family: Bacterial small subunit ribosomal RNA
Source: RNAcentral
ACGCUCGACACCUACGGGAGGCAGCAGUGGGGAAUAUUGCACAAUGGGGGAAACCCUGAUGCAGCGACGCCGCGUGAAGGAAGAAGUAUUUCGGUAUGUAAACUUCUAUCAGCAGGGAAGAAGAUGACGGUACCUGAGUAAGAAGCACCGGCUAAAUACGUGCUAGCAGCCGCGGUAAUCUGAGCGGGCUGGCAAGGC